Long non-coding RNA from Rhagoletis zephyria (snowberry fruit fly), 174 nucleotides. RefSeq lists it as uncharacterized. The record is from RefSeq and is a predicted model, not a curated record. Lineage: Eukaryota; Metazoa; Arthropoda; Insecta; Diptera; Tephritidae.
CAGAAAUUUGACAACAAAACAAAACAAAGCGAGAUAUGUUGAGCCAACAAAGAAGACGCAGUUGGAAAAUGGAGUUAUUAGUAAUGAAGUAGCAGGCAUAUUUGGAAAGUUAUGCCGAUAAGAAGGAUGGAAUUUGUGAAAGUAAUUUAAUUGUUUAUAGAAAUGUUAUAAAUC